AACGAACGCUGGCGGCAUGCCUAACACAUGCAAGUCGAACGAGACCUUCGGGUCUAGUGGCGCACGGGUGCGUAACGCGUGGGAACCUGCCUUUAGGUUCGGAAUAACUCAGAGAAAUUUGAGCUAAUACCAGAUGAUGUCUUCGGACCAAAGAUUUAUCGCCUUUAGAUGGGCCCGCGUUGGAUUAGCUAGUUGGUGGGGUAAAGGCCUACCAAGGCGACGAUCCAUAGCUGGUCUGAGAGGAUGAUCAGCCACACUGGGACUGAGACACGGCCCAGACUCCUACGGGAGGCAGCAGUGGGGAAUAGUGGACAAUGGGCGAAAGCCUGAUCCAGCAAUGCCGCGUGAGUGAUGAAGGCCUUAGGGUUGUAAAGCUCUUUUACCCGAGAUGAUAAUGACAGUAUCGGGAGAAUAAGCUCCGGCUAACUCCGUG
RNAcentral lists this ribosomal RNA (433 nucleotides) under uncultured bacterium. RNAcentral describes it as "partial 16S ribosomal RNA". It matches the Rfam family "Bacterial small subunit ribosomal RNA", at positions 29 to 507 of the family's 1533-position model. The record is from RNAcentral.